RNAcentral lists this ribosomal RNA (274 nucleotides) under Klebsiella pneumoniae. Its description in RNAcentral is "partial 23S ribosomal RNA". It matches the Rfam family "Bacterial large subunit ribosomal RNA", at positions 1124 to 1397 of the family's 2925-position model. The record is from RNAcentral. Lineage: Bacteria; Pseudomonadati; Pseudomonadota; Gammaproteobacteria; Enterobacterales; Enterobacteriaceae.
UAAAGAAAGCGUAAUAGCUCACUGGUCGAGUCGGCCUGCGCGGAAGAUGUAACGGGGCUAAACCAUGCACCGAAGCUGCGGCAGCGACACUAUGUGUUGUUGGGUAGGGGAGCGUUCUGUAAGCCUGUGAAGGUGUACUGUGAGGUAUGCUGGAGGUAUCAGAAGUGCGAAUGCUGACAUAAGUAACGAUAAAGCGGGUGAAAAGCCCGCUCGCCGGAAGACCAAGGGUUCCUGUCCAACGUUAAUCGGGGCAGGGUGAGUCGACCCCUAAGGC